UGCCGGGUUUCCAAGUCCCGGGGUCACUGAAGAGGCACUUAUUACAUCAUUGCCGGCCGUGCGGUUCGGACCUCCGAUCCAAUCCAAGGCAUUCAUCGCGGGACGGCCACAGGCGUUCA
This is a regulatory RNA element of Stappia sp. ES.058, 119 nucleotides long. It matches the Rfam family "speF leader". From Rfam's summary of the family: This family is a putative regulatory RNA structure that is found upstream of the speF gene encoding ornithine decarboxylase in Agrobacterium tumefaciens and other alpha-proteobacteria. NCBI's taxonomy places the organism in Bacteria, Pseudomonadati, Pseudomonadota, Alphaproteobacteria, Hyphomicrobiales, Stappiaceae. The record is from Rfam.